RNAcentral lists this long non-coding RNA (263 nucleotides) under Brachypodium distachyon (stiff brome). RNAcentral's name for it is "long non-coding RNA (BDIS_LNC001739)". The record is from RNAcentral. Lineage: Eukaryota; Viridiplantae; Streptophyta; Magnoliopsida; Poales; Poaceae.
ACGAACGCCCACCCAGCAAGCGUAGCGUGUGGAAUUUCCUUUAGGCAGACGCCGGCUUGUCAAACUUGAGCGGCUUGACCACCUCCCAGGUGAAGUCAGCAUCGUCGCGGCCGAAAUGGCCGUAGGCGGCGGUCUUGAUGAACCUGUUGCCGCCUUUCUUGAGGUCAAGGUUGAUGCUGAUCAUGCCAGGCCUGAAAUCAAAGUUCUCCUUGACAAGCCUGAGGAUCUCCCUGUCGGGGAUCUUGCCGGUCCCAUACGAGUCA